AGUGAACGCUGGCGGUAGGCCUAACACAUGCAAGUCGAACGGCAGCACAGAGGAGCUUGCUCCUUGGGUGGCGAGUGGCGGACGGGUGAGGAAUACAUCGGAAUCUACUCUGUCGUGGGGGAUAACGUAGGGAAACUUACGCUAAUACCGCAUACGACCUACGGGUGAAAGCAGGGGAUCUUCGGACCUUGCGCGAUUGAAUGAGCCGAUGUCGGAUUAGCUAGUUGGCGGGGUAAAGGCCCACCAAGGCGACGAUCCGUAGCUGGUCUGAGAGGAUGAUCAGCCACACUGGAACUGAGACACGGUCCAGACUCCUACGGGAGGCAGCAGUGGGGAAUAUUGGACAAUGGGCGCAAGCCUGAUCCAGCCAUACCGCGUGGGUGAAGAAGGCCUUCGGGUUGUAAAGCCCUUUUGUUGGGAAAGAAAUCCAGCUGGCUAAUACCCGGCUGGGAUGACGGUACCCAAAGAAUAAGCACCGGCUAACUUCGUGCCAGCAGCCGCGGUAAUACGAAGGGUGCAAGCGUUACUCGGAAUUACUGGGCGUAAAGCGUGCGUAGGUGGUCGUUUAAGUCCGUUGUGAAAGCCCUGGGCUCAACCUGGGAACUGCAGUGGAUACUGGGCGACUAGAGUGUGGUAGAGGGUAGCGGAAUUCCUGGUGUAGCAGUGAAAUGCGUAGAGAUCAGGAGGAACAUCCAUGGCGAAGGCAGCUACCUGGACCAACACUGAC
This 727-nucleotide ribosomal RNA is filed under the name uncultured Stenotrophomonas sp. RNAcentral's name for it is "bacterial SSU rRNA". It matches the Rfam family "Bacterial small subunit ribosomal RNA", at positions 28 to 744 of the family's 1533-position model. The record is from RNAcentral. Lineage: Bacteria; Pseudomonadati; Pseudomonadota; Gammaproteobacteria; Lysobacterales; Lysobacteraceae.